This is a non-coding RNA of Ornithorhynchus anatinus (platypus), 82 nucleotides long. NCBI's taxonomy places the organism in Eukaryota, Metazoa, Chordata, Mammalia, Monotremata, Ornithorhynchidae. The record is from Rfam.
GGUGUCACAUGCAUUACUGAGAGAUGUCAUCACACGCUACCUCAUUCUGUGAUGUCAUCACUCAGUACCGCACAUGUCCACC